Molecule: unclassified non-coding RNA, 316 nt
Filed under: uncultured fungus
Lineage: Eukaryota; Fungi
Description: partial contains small subunit ribosomal RNA, internal transcribed spacer 1, and 5.8S ribosomal RNA
Rfam family: Eukaryotic small subunit ribosomal RNA (bases 1-73)
Source: RNAcentral
UCAAACUUGGUCAUUUAGAGGAAGUAAAAGUCGUAACAAGGUUUCCGUAGGUGAACCUGCGGAAGGAUCAUCACCGAGAUUAAGGGGGAGAUGGUGUGUGAUGAUCGAGAUAUCGAUCAUGAUCAUCAUCUCCUUAACACCCCACUCAUGUGUGCAUGGUAUAGGCGCGGUUGAUGGCAAUAUAUGUUGUUGUCACACACGCCUCUUAUAUAUAUAAACUAGAUCUUUAUGGCAUAUAUUUAUUUAAUAAUCUCAACAACCUAACACAACUUUUAACAAUGGAUCUCUUGGCUCUCGCAUCGAUGAAGAACGCAGC